GGCUGGGUCCCGUGCGACUGGCUAUCGCCGAACCCCGUCAGGUCCGGAAGGAAGCAGCGGUAAGCGACCGGUCAGGGCGCCGCGGUGUGCUUGGCUAUC
This 99-nucleotide signal recognition particle RNA is filed under the name Spirochaetaceae bacterium. Its description in RNAcentral is "signal recognition particle sRNA small type". It matches the Rfam family "Bacterial small signal recognition particle RNA". From Rfam's summary of the family: The signal recognition particle (SRP) is a universally conserved ribonucleoprotein involved in the co-translational targeting of proteins to membranes. Archaeal SRP consists of a 7S RNA and homologues of the eukaryotic SRP19 and SRP54 proteins. The record is from RNAcentral. Lineage: Bacteria; Pseudomonadati; Spirochaetota; Spirochaetia; Spirochaetales; Spirochaetaceae.